CACACUUCCUUCCUCUUCGUGGUAUGGAAUUUUGCAGAAGAAACCAGACACUGCCUUUGGAGAUGGUGAAACUGAAGCCUAGAGAGGUGGUUAUUACCCAAGAUCAUAGAGAUUCUGUCUCCUCACCCUCCAAAACUGCAGAGGUACCUGCUGGCUAAUUACAAAGCAUGAGGAUGUCAUUUUCUGAACAGCCAUCAAAAUUCAGAAGCACACUGCUCUCCACCCCCAUCCUCCAAGCUUCCCCAACAUGUCACAAUCUAGGGAAAAACUUCAG
Non-coding RNA from Phascolarctos cinereus (koala), 274 nucleotides. The record is from RefSeq and is a predicted model, not a curated record. Lineage: Eukaryota; Metazoa; Chordata; Mammalia; Diprotodontia; Phascolarctidae.